UUGGCGGCGAGUGGCGAACGGGUGAGUAAUAUAUCGGAACGUACCCAGUAGCGGGGGAUAACUACUCGAAAGCGUAGCUAAUACCGCAUACGCACUAAGGUGGAAAGCGGGGGAUCGCAAGACCUCGCGCUCAUGGAGCGGCCGAUAUCUGAUUAGCUAGUUGGUGGGGUAAAAGCCUACCAAGGCGACGAUCAGUAGCUGGUCUGAGAGGACGACCAGCCACACUGGGACUGAGACACGGCCCAGACUCC
RNAcentral lists this ribosomal RNA (251 nucleotides) under uncultured bacterium. Its description in RNAcentral is "partial 16S ribosomal RNA". It matches the Rfam family "Bacterial small subunit ribosomal RNA", at positions 85 to 339 of the family's 1533-position model. The record is from RNAcentral.